This 1187-nucleotide long non-coding RNA is filed under the name Homo sapiens (human). The record is from RNAcentral. Lineage: Eukaryota; Metazoa; Chordata; Mammalia; Primates; Hominidae.
GGAGCACAACGUCGAAAGCAGCCGUUGGGAGCCCAGGAGGCGGGGCGCCUGUGGGAGCCGUGGAGGGAACUUUCCCAGUCCCCGAGGCGGAUCCGGUGUUGCAUCCUUGGAGCGAGCUGAGAGCUCGAGUACAGAACCUGCUAAGGCCAUCAAACCUAUUGAUCGGAAGUCAGUCCAUCAGAUUUGCUCUGGGCCGGUGGUACCGAGUCUAAGCACUGCGGUGAAGGAGUUAGUAGAAAACAGUCUGGAUGCUGGUGCCACUAAUAUUGAUCUAAAGCUUAAGGACUAUGGAGUGGAUCUCAUUGAAGUUUCAGGCAAUGGAUGUGGGGUAGAAGAAGAAAACUUCGAAGGCUUAAAAACGUGCCUGCUUCCCCUUCGCCUUCUGCCGUGAUUGUCAGUUUCCUGAGGCCUCCCCAGCCAUGCUUCCUGUACAGCCUGCAGAACUGACUCCUAGAAGUACCCCACCCCACCCCUGCUCCUUGGAGGACAACGUGAUCACUGUAUUCAGCUCUGUCAAGAAUGGUCCAGGUUCUUCUAGAUGAUCUGCACAAAUGGCUCCUCUCCUCCUUCCUGAUGUCUGCCAUUAGCACUGGAAUAAAGUUCCUGCUGAAAAUCCACAUCUCCCCUGGGUCCGGUGUUCUGGAAGUGAGAGAGACAAUGUCACACCUCAAGGAGACAGCUCUCUAGACAGGAAGGUUAUUCACGUCCCAUGUCAAGUCUAGCUAGAGUUCAGAGCAAUUGAGAAGUGCGAUUUUAUCUCCUGCCUUUCAUUCUAUACCCUGCUUCUGAACCAUCGUGUUCAACUGUGAAACUCACGCUUUGGUGACCCUGACUCCAAAACUUAAUACACCCAAGGUCAGCCCCAGUGAUCUGCUUCAUAGCGAGGACUUUGGGUGGGUCUUCCCAGGGAGUAGGGCACCCUCAGAGAAUGUGGCUUUGGACUUCAUCACAGCUAGGGUCUUUUGUGUCACUUCAGAUCUAAACUUGUAACUGUGCUAGAUCUGUUUCUAAUGUGACAACAUCACAAACCACGAGUCCAGAAGCCUAAUCCAUAAUCCUACCUCCUCAUGACGAAGUCUCAUGCUCUGUGCUCAACAUGGUUAGCUGCACAAGAUGUAAACCAAAGCUUCACUGAACCCUCGACCCAAAUCGGUAACUCAAGUGCAUCAAUCAUAAAGAACCUCCCC